RNAcentral lists this ribosomal RNA (467 nucleotides) under uncultured bacterium. RNAcentral's name for it is "partial 16S ribosomal RNA". It matches the Rfam family "Bacterial small subunit ribosomal RNA", at positions 28 to 506 of the family's 1533-position model. The record is from RNAcentral.
GACGAACGCUGGCGGCGUGCUUAACACAUGCAAGUCGAACGGAAAGGCCCUGCUUUUGUGGGGUGCUCGAGUGGCGAACGGGUGAGUAACACGUGAGUAACCUGCCCUUGACUUUGGGAUAACUUCAGGAAACUGGGGCUAAUACCGGAUAGGAGCUCCUGCUGCAUGGUGGGGGUUGGAAAGUUUCGGCGGUUGGGGAUGGACUCGCGGCUUAUCAGCUUGUUGGUGGGGUAGUGGCUUACCAAGGCUUUGACGGGUAGCCGGCCUGAGAGGGUGACCGGCCACAUUGGGACUGAGAUACGGCCCAGACUCCUACGGGAGGCAGCAGCGGGGAAUAUUGCACAAUGGGCGGAAGCCUGAUGCAGCAACGCCGCGUGCGGGAUGACGGCCUUCGGGUUGUAAACCGCUUUCGCCUGUGACGAAGCGUGAGUGACGGUAAUGGGGAAAGAAGCACCGGCUAACUACGU